This 301-nucleotide ribosomal RNA is filed under the name uncultured bacterium. Its description in RNAcentral is "partial 16S ribosomal RNA". It matches the Rfam family "Bacterial small subunit ribosomal RNA", at positions 509 to 807 of the family's 1533-position model. The record is from RNAcentral.
CAGCCGCCGCGGGAAUACGAAGGGGGCUAGCGUUGUUCGGAAUUACUGGGCGUAAAGCGCACGUAGGCGGACAUUUAAGUCAGGGGUGAAAUCCCGGGGCUCAACCCCGGAACUGCCUUUGAUACUGGGUGUCUAGAGUAUGGAAGAGGUGAGUGGAAUUCCGAGUGUAGAGGUGAAAUUCGUAGAUAUUCGGAGGAACACCAGUGGCGAAGGCGGCUCACUGGUCCAUUACUGACGCUGAGGUGCGAAAGCGUGGGGAGCAAACAGGAUUAGAUACCCCGGUAGUCCCUGUCUCUUAUAC